RNAcentral lists this ribosomal RNA (488 nucleotides) under uncultured crenarchaeote. RNAcentral's name for it is "bacterial SSU rRNA". It matches the Rfam family "Archaeal small subunit ribosomal RNA", at positions 1 to 494 of the family's 1478-position model. The record is from RNAcentral. Lineage: Archaea; Thermoproteati; Thermoproteota.
UUUCCCGGUUGAUCCUGCCGGACCUGACUGCUAUCGGAUUGGUACUAAGCCAUGCGAGUCGUUGUAGCAAUACAAGGCGGACGGCUCAGUAACACGUAGUCAACCUAACCUAUGGACGUGGAUAACCUCGGGAAACUGAGAAUAAACCGCGAUAGAUCAUUAUGCCUGGAAUGGCUUAUGGUUCAAACAAUUUAUUGCCGUAGGAUGGGACUGCGGCCUAUCAGCUUGUUGGUGGGGUAAUGGCCCACCAAGGCUAUAACAGGUACGGGCUCUGAGAGGAGAAGCCCGGAGAUGGGUACUGAGACACGGACCCAGGCCCUAUGGGGCGCAGCAGGCGAGAAACCUUAGCAAUGUGCGAAAGCACGACUAGGUUAAUCCGAGUGAUUUCUGUUGAAGAAAUCUUUUGUCAGUCGUAAAACCACAGACGAAUAAGGGGUGGGCAAGUCUGGUGUCAGCCGCCGCGGUAAUACCAGCACCUCGAGUGGUCA